RNAcentral lists this ribosomal RNA (254 nucleotides) under uncultured bacterium. RNAcentral's name for it is "partial 16S ribosomal RNA". It matches the Rfam family "Bacterial small subunit ribosomal RNA", at positions 524 to 776 of the family's 1533-position model. The record is from RNAcentral.
UACGUAGGGUGCAAGCGUUGUCCGGAAUUAUUGGGCGUAAAGAGCUCGUAGGCGGUCUGUCGCGUCGGCUGUGAAAACUCGGGGCUCAACCCCGAGCCUGCAGUCGAUACGGGCAGACGUAGAGUGCGGUAGGGGAGACUGGAAUUCCUGGUGUAGCGGUGAAAUGCGCAGAUAUCAGGAGGAACACCGGUGGCGAAGGCGGGUCUCUGGGCCGUAACUGACGCUGAGGAGCGAAAGCGUGGGGAGCAAACAGG